GAAACGACUGCUAAGACUGGAUAGGAAGAUAAAAGGCAUCUUGUAUCUUUUAAAAGACCUAGUUAAUAGGUAUGCUUUAGGAGGGGCUUGCGCCAUAUUAGUUAGUUGGUAGGGUAAUGGCCUACCAAGACGAUGAUGUGUAGCUGGACUGAGAGGUUGAACAGCCACAUUGGGACUGAGACACGGCCCAAACUCCUACGGGAGGCAGCAGUAGGGAAUUUUCGGCAAUGGAGGAAACUCUGACCGAGCAACGCCGCGUGAAUGACGAAGUACUUCGGUAUGUAAAGUUCUUUUAUCGAGGAAGAAAAGCAAAUGGCGAACCAUUUGUUUGCCGGUACUUGAUGAAUAAGCCCCGGCUAAUUAUGUGCCAGCAGCCGCGGUAAGACAUAAGGGGCAAGUGUUAUCCGGAAUUAUUGGGCGUAAAGGGUGCGUAGGCGGUCUAGUAAGUCAGUGGUGUAAUGGCAACGCUUAACGUUGUCCGGCUAUUGAAACUGCUAAACUUGAGUUAGAUAGAGGCGAGUGGAAUUCCAUGUGUAGCGGUAAAAUGCGUAAAUAUAUGGAGGAACACCAGAGGCGUAGGCGGCUCGCUGGGUCUUAACUGACGCUGAGGCACGAAAGCGUGGGGAGCAAACAGGAUUAGAUACCCUGGUAGUCCACGCCGUAAACGAUGAGUACUAAGUGUCGGGUUAAACCGGUACUGAAGUUAACACAUUAAGUACUCCGCCUGAGUAGUACGUACGCAAGUAUGAAACUUAAAGGAAUUGACGGGACUCCGCACAAGCGGUGGAUCAUGUUGUUUAAUUCGAAGAUACCCGAAAAACCUUACCAGGUCUUGACAUGUUUUUGCAAAAUGAUAGUAAUAUCGUGGAGGUUACCAGAAACACAGGUGGUGCAUGGUUGUCGUCAGCUCGUGUCGUGAGAUGUUAGGUUAAGUCCUAAAACGAGCGAAACCCUUAUCGUUAGUUGCCAGCACGUUAUGGGUGGGGGACUUUAACGAGACUGCCAAUGAUAAAUUGGAGGAAGGUGAGGAUCACGUCAAAUCAGCAUGCCCCUUAUGACCUGGGCUACAAACGUGAUACAAUGGCUGUUACAAAGGGUAGCUGAAACGCAAGUUCUUGGCCAAUCCCCAAAAACAGUCCCAGUCCGGAUUGAAGUCUGCAACUCGACUUCAUGAAGUUGGAAUCGCUAGUAAUCGCGAAUCAGCAUGUCGCGGUGAAUACGUUCUCGGGGUUUGUACACACCGCCCGUCA
Molecule: ribosomal RNA, 1250 nt
Filed under: 'Indigofera suffruticosa' virescence phytoplasma
Lineage: Bacteria; Bacillati; Mycoplasmatota; Mollicutes; Acholeplasmatales; Acholeplasmataceae
Description: bacterial SSU rRNA
Rfam family: Bacterial small subunit ribosomal RNA
Source: RNAcentral